This 422-nucleotide ribosomal RNA is filed under the name uncultured Sarcina sp. RNAcentral's name for it is "bacterial SSU rRNA". It matches the Rfam family "Bacterial small subunit ribosomal RNA", at positions 355 to 794 of the family's 1533-position model. Lineage: Bacteria; Bacillati; Bacillota; Clostridia; Eubacteriales; Clostridiaceae. The record is from RNAcentral.
UGGGGAAUAUUGCACAAUGGGGGAAACCCUGAUGCAGCAACGCCGCGUGAGUGAUGAAGGUCUUCGGAUUGUAAAGCUCUGUCUUUAGGGACGAUAAUGACGGUACCUAAGGAGGAAGCCACGGCUAACUACGUGCCAGCAGCCGCGGUAAUACGUAGGUGGCAAGCGUUAUCCGGAUUUACUGGGCGUAAAGGGAGCGUAGGCGGAUAUUUAAGUGGGAUGUGAAAUACCCGAGCUUAACUUGGGAGCUGCAUUCCAAACUGGAUAUCUAGAGUGCAGGAGAGGAGAAUGGAAUUCCUAGUGUAGCGGUGAAAUGCGUAGAGAUUAGGAAGAACACCAGUGGCGAAGGCGAUUCUCUGGACUGUAACUGACGCUGAGGCUCGAAAGCGUGGGGAGCAAACAGGAUUAGAUACCCUGGUAGU